Long non-coding RNA from Cotesia glomerata, 456 nucleotides. RefSeq lists it as uncharacterized. The transcript is spliced from 2 exons. Lineage: Eukaryota; Metazoa; Arthropoda; Insecta; Hymenoptera; Braconidae. The record is from RefSeq and is a predicted model, not a curated record.
UUAUGAAAGACCAGUAGUAAAGUUACUGUUGAGUUGACUGAUUCAGAACCCCUAUAAAUUAAAUUAUUAAUUUUAAGGAUUUUUUAAUUAAAUAAAUUUUUUUUUGUAAAAAAAAAAUAAAAUAGUUUGUCGAAUUUCCGAGGACUAUUUUACUAUAAAACUACUGAAAGACAGUGCGAAUGAAUUUCAGUAUCGGGUUUCUUUUCUUCUUGACGAUUCUCGGCGUAGUUGUCCACGGAUAUCCCGUGAGCGACCCCGAUGCCGCAUUUGAAAACAUGAGACAGAUACCUCAAUGGCACUGUCUACGUUACCGGAAAUUUGACUUAGUACGACGUUGUAGAAAUUAUCGUCUGUCAAGAAAACACUGACAUACCAGGAUCAAGCUGGCUGGUAUACCUUACAACAUAUCAUUCCAGUUACCUAUAAGAUCUACUUAAUGUUUCAGAUAAAAUUUUC